UCCGUCAGCUAGCUCUCUGCAACUCUCACAUGGUUGCCCCCUGAAGCUAAGCAUUGCUGCACCAGGACAGUACCUGGAUGGGAGACCACAUAAGGGAAGCUAGGUUGCUGCUGGAA
This 116-nucleotide ribosomal RNA is filed under the name Danio rerio (zebrafish). The record is from RNAcentral. Lineage: Eukaryota; Metazoa; Chordata; Actinopteri; Cypriniformes; Danionidae.